ACUCAAAGGAAUUGACGGGGACCCGCACAAGCGGUGGAGCAUGUGGUUUAAUUCGAAGCAACGCGAAGAACCUUACCAAGUCUUGACAUCCCAUUGAAAACACUUUAACCGGUGACCCUCUUCGGAGCAAUGGAGACAGGUGGUGCAUGGUUGUCGUCAGCUCGUGUCGUGAGAUGUUGGGUUAAGUCCCGCAACGAGCGCAACCCUUAUCCUUAGUAGCCAGCACAUAAUGGUGGGCACUCUGGGGAGACUGCCAGGGAUAACCUGGAGGAAGGUGGGGAUGACGUCAAAUCAUCAUGCCCCUUAUGAUUUGGGCUACACACGUGCUACAAUGGCGUAAACAAAGGGAAGCAAAGGAGCGAUCUGGAGCAAACCCCAAAAAUAACGUCUCAGUUCGGAUUGCAGGCUGCAACUCGCCUGCAUGAAGCUGGAAUCGCUAGUAAUCGCGAAUCAGAAUGUCGCGGUGAAUACGUUCCCGGGUCUUGUACACACCGCCCGUC
This 500-nucleotide ribosomal RNA is filed under the name uncultured bacterium. Its description in RNAcentral is "bacterial SSU rRNA". It matches the Rfam family "Bacterial small subunit ribosomal RNA", at positions 899 to 1398 of the family's 1533-position model. The record is from RNAcentral.